AUGGCCGAGCUAGAGACGGUUAAUGCCAGAAAGGAGAAGGUGCAGCCACCAUCAAUCCGAGACACGAGAAGGAGCUGGAUUCCUCCCUCUUUGAAUCAUGCAAAGAUCAAUGUUGAUGGUGCUUUCUCACAGAAUGGCAGCGUUGGAGCGGCAGCAGCUUUCUGCAGGAACGAACAUGGAGAUUACUUAGGGGCAUCGGUCUUGGUGGCGCCUAAUAUGACUGAUCCGACUGCUCUGGAAGCACUGGCUUGCCGAGAAUGUCUGUCCCUAGUCGCAGAUCUUAAUCUCUCAAAUAUCCAUUUGGCCACUGACUGCCAGGGACUGGUGGAAGAAAUCAAGAAUGGAUCCAGUGCAUUCCAUGGGGCGAUCAUUCAGGAAAUUCAGUCUAGGAUGAUACCUUUUACAAGUUGCUUUUUCUCCUUCGAAAGUAGAACUUGUAAUUUUGAGGCACAUAGCCUCGCAAAGCACGCCUCUUCUCUAGGAGCUGGUAGACAUAUUUGGCUCGAUCUUCCCUAUGAUCCAGUCAACAUUCCUGUAAACAUUUUGCAACAGAGUUAA
RNAcentral lists this ribosomal RNA (558 nucleotides) under Triticum aestivum (bread wheat). RNAcentral describes it as "partial small subunit ribosomal RNA". The record is from RNAcentral. Lineage: Eukaryota; Viridiplantae; Streptophyta; Magnoliopsida; Poales; Poaceae.